RNAcentral lists this ribosomal RNA (445 nucleotides) under uncultured microorganism. RNAcentral describes it as "bacterial SSU rRNA". It matches the Rfam family "Bacterial small subunit ribosomal RNA", at positions 9 to 451 of the family's 1533-position model. The record is from RNAcentral.
GAGUUUGAUCGUGGCUCAGAUUGAACGCUGGCGGCAUGCCUUACACAUGCAAGUCGAACGGCAGCAUGAUCUAGCUUGCUAGAUUGAUGGCGAGUGGCGAACGGGUGAGUAAUACAUCGGAACGUGCCCUGUAGUGGGGGAUAACUAGUCGAAAGAUUAGCUAAUACCGCAUACGACCUGAGGGUGAAAGUGGGGGACCGCAAGGCCUCAUGCUAUAGGAGCGGCCGAUGUCUGAUUAGCUAGUUGGUGGGGUAAAGGCCCACCAAGGCGACGAUCAGUAGCUGGUCUGAGAGGACGAUCAGCCACACUGGGACUGAGACACGGCCCAGACUCCUACGGGAGGCAGCAGUGGGGAAUUUUGGACAAUGGGCGAAAGCCUGAUCCAGCAAUGCCGCGUGUGUGAAGAAGGCCUCGGUUGUAAGUCGACUUUGUUCCGGUAACGAAA